AUGGCCAUGGUGCUGGACGCCUUCGCGUCCUACAUCGCUGACACGAUCAAGCAGAUGGCGGCGGACGAGGUGGGGAUGCUGCUCGGCGUCACGGGGGAGAUCGACAGCCUGCAGGACAAGCUGGAGAGCCUGAGGGACUACCUCGCCGACGCCGAGAGGAAGCGCAUCACCGACCGGAGGGUGCAGGGGUGGGUCACGAAGCUCAAGGGCGUCAUGUACGAGGCCACCAACAUCCUCGACCUCUGCGAGCUCAAGGCCAUGGGUCGGCGGGACGCAGCACCCUCACCCUGCUGCAACCCGCUGCUCUUCUGCUUGCGGCAUCCCAUGUUCGCUCACGACAUUGGUAGCCGCAUCAGGAAGCUCAACAAGAGGCUGGACGACAUCUGCAAGCUCGGUGCUGCCUUCAGCUUCAUCAAGCUGGAAACCUACCAGGACUACAGGACCGGACGACCUUCUGCGGCUGACCGGAAGACAGAUCCGGUUUUGGAGCGCUCGGCCGUGGUAGGGGAGAAGAUUGAAGAGGAUACACGAGCGCUGGUGAAGGAGCUGACAAAGGGUAAUCAUGGCAUUGUGGUGGUCGCCAUUGUGGGUGUCGGCGGGAUCGGGAAGACCACCCUUGCCAAGAAGGUCUUUAACGACGAGGACAUUCAACACAAGUUUGAAAAGAAGAUGUGGCUGAGCGUCACACAAGAAUUCAGCGAGGUUGAGCUACUAAGGUCGGCCAUCACUGCCGCCAACGGAGAACUCCCCAGGACGCAAGAAAAAUCUCAGCUUAUGCCGGCCCUUAAAAAUGCCAUCAAAGAUCAGAAGUUUCUUCUGGUUUUGGAUGAUAUGUGGAGUGAUAGAGCAUGGACCUCCUUGCUCAAUGCUCCCUUCAGCUACGGUGCCCCUGGUAGCCGGAUUGUUAUCACCACCAGAAAUGACACGGUUGCCCGAGUAGUCUCGGGCGAUGAAGAUGGACCUGAUAUCGAUAUGCUUAAGGAUAUUGGACUGCAAGUGAUUGAAAAAUGUGAUGGUUUGCCUCUUGCUGUCAAAGUAAUGGGAGGACUUUUGCGUCAGAAAGGGAAGCAACGCCAUGACUGGGAGAUGGUUCUGAAUGAUUCUAUUUGGUCAGUAUCUGAAAUGCCCGAAGAACUAAACUAUGCAGUAUAUUUAAGCUAUGAAGAUUUGCCUCCUUGCAUCAAGCAGUGCUUUCUACACUACUCCCUUCUCCCUAAAGGUGGACUUUUCCAUCGUGCUGAAAUUAUUGGCAUGUGGAUUAGUGAAGGAUUUAUUCACGGAAGCUCAGACGACGACUUGGAAGAAUUAGGAAUGAAGUACUAUAGUGAGCUGAUACUUAGGAACCUUAUAGAGCCAGGGAUACAGUAUAUUGAUGAUCCAGUUUUCAAUAUGCAUGAUGUUGUUCGCUCAUUUGCUCAAUUUGUGGCUAGAGACGAGGCAGCAGCUGUCCAGAGUGGAGAAAAUGGUAAUAUUAGUGAACUCACUGCACAAAAGUUUCUGCACUUAUCCAUAGAAAGCAAAGUUCCAGAAUCAGAAGGGUUGGACUGGAGUUCUUUACAAGCACAAAAGGCACUGAGAACACUAAUAUGUCUCGGCCAUGUAAAUAUAAAGCCUGGAGAUUCGUUGGUUGCUUUUCCAUGCCUGCGGACUCUUAUUCUACAUAAAGGUCCUGCAAAUGUUGCUGUAUUGGUUGAAUCUUUACAUGAACUCAAGCACUUGAGGUACUUAUCCAUAAAGAAUUCUGAUAUAUCUUGCCUGCCGGAAAACAUUGGGGAGAUGAAAUUCUUGCAGUACAUCAGCCUUAGAGGAUGCAGACAAUUUGUGAAACUUCCACAUCGCAUUGUAAAUUUAAGGAAGCUAUGGCUUCUUGACUUGUUUGGAACUAGUAUAAAUGGUAUACCUAGGGGGUUCUGUGCUUUAAAAGAUUUGAGGACACUACAUGGGUUUCCAACCCAGGUGGAUGGUGACUGGUGUAGUUUGGAAGAGUUGGGCCCUCUUUCCCAACUCAGGGUUCUUGAUCUGGACGGACUGCAGAAUGUAUCUGCUACCUGGUCCGCCACGAAAGCAAGGCUUAGUGAGAAGGAGCAUCUUACCAACUUGUAUUUACAGUGCAGUAGUAUACUUUGGGUUGACGGGCUGAUUAAAGAUGAAGGUGUCUCUGAGCAACGACAAAUCAAGGAGGUGUUUGAUUUUCUUAUUAUCACAGGAUAUUUUGGCCGACAACUCCCAAGGUGGAUGAUGUCAACAUUAUUAGCAUGCUCCCUCAGGCGCUUGAGGACUCUAGGGAUGAUAGACCUGGCUUGCUGCACACAACUCCCUGAUGGCUUGUGCCAACUCCCCUAUUUGGAGAAUUUUCGCAUCAAGCACGCUCCAUCCAUCAAGCAUGUUGGACCAGAAUUCCUCCAGCCCUACCAUCACCAUGGCGCUCAUCCUUUCCAGGUGUCACUUGCCUUUCCGAGAUUACACAAGAUGUACUUAAUCGGAAUGCUUCAAUGGCAGGAAUGGGUGUGGGAGGAGCAAGUGCAAGCCUUCCCUGUUUUGGAGGAGCUUUUCAUCAAAAAGUGCAAACUGAGGCUUGUUCCUCCUGGCCUUGCCUCAAAUGCAAGGGCUUUAAAAAAAUUAACUAUAUCUUUGAUACAGCAACUCAAAUUACUGGAGAAUUUUGCUUCAAUUACUGAGCUUGAAGUAACUUGCAACCCCGACCUGGAGAGGAUCACUAAUCUCCCCAAACUUCAGAAGCUUACCAUCGUCAAGUGCCCAAAGCUGAAUGUGUUAGAGGGUGUUCCUGCACUUCAGAUUCUUGACCUAGAGGAUUACGCCAUGGAAGAACUUCCAGAAUACAUGCGAGGUAUAAGGCCAAGACAUUUGCUGGUAGACUGCAAGCUAUCUGGCACCGAGUGGGACAAGUUCAGCCAUGUCGAACAUGUCAAGGCAUAUUCACAUGAUGGAAACAAAUCCAGAACACUUUAUGUGUUGUACACAAGGGAUCCCUGCGGCUUGGAGACAAAUAUUAUCCACUCGUUUGUAUCUGCAGGUAAACAUAUGAGCUUCGUCUUCAUUUAUUUGAGUGUUCUGACAUUAGUUCAUUUCAUUUUGUGUCCUUCCAUAUAUGCUCAUUUUUUUAAAUAUAUUACCUUUUCAUUCCACUUGAGUAUGUCGUUUGUAGUUAUGCAACUUCAGUUUUAG
This 3186-nucleotide ribosomal RNA is filed under the name Triticum aestivum (bread wheat). RNAcentral describes it as "partial small subunit ribosomal RNA". Lineage: Eukaryota; Viridiplantae; Streptophyta; Magnoliopsida; Poales; Poaceae. The record is from RNAcentral.